Molecule: long non-coding RNA, 1120 nt
Organism: Pangasianodon hypophthalmus (striped catfish)
Lineage: Eukaryota; Metazoa; Chordata; Actinopteri; Siluriformes; Pangasiidae
Exons: 3
Source: RefSeq, a predicted model, not a curated record
UGAUAAUGGAUUUGCAAUGACAUGCAAUGACAAUGAUGUAUAAUAUUAUAAUUACAUUUAUACAUUUAUAAGCUACCCUGUAUAUGUGAGGAUCUUUUUUAAAAGCUGUAUAAUUAAUGAUCAUUUUUCUCAUGUCAUUCAGACCUUGACGGCCUUGAAGCUGCUAACUUGGCUUGCCUUUCUCAAUCAGAAAGGUUUAGCUUAAGUAAAUCCUUCACCAUUGUCAAGAAUGCAGAUCUUAGCACCGGAAAGGAUGGGCCCUCGUAUAGGAGCAUGUCUAUGAGGGCCAUACAAAGGUGAAGAAUUUAGCAGAACUCCUGGUGCUGGGGAGGUGGGGUGAUGAGACGUGCUCCAUACAUGGGUACGGGCCCUCACACAGGCACUGGGGCAGCACUGGGGUUGGUCUUUAUGAGCCCCCUCAGAGGUACAUAGAAACUGAACGCCGGUUUCUGCGAUCCAGAUCACACAGCAUGGAUAACUGUAACUGGAGCUGGGCGAUGAAACACAGAACAAGGGAACUCUGACUAGGCGCAGGAUGCAGCUAAGGGCUUCAGGAAUAUGCUGAUCUAUCCAUCAAAAAAAGAACUGGUCAUUUUGGCUGUGAAAUCCCAGGUAGCGAAGACGAAGCAUCAGCAACUCAUUUCAUUGAAGCCACAAUUGUACAGCAUGAUGCCACCCCAGUGAUGACAGCACUUAACUUUUCUGAUAGUUUGCGAAUUCUUAAUCUGCGACUACAGCUCAUUGUAUCCCGAGUGGGCCACAUUGGCAAAAGUAGCCUGCGCCAUUCCCGGUACCGUGCCCACAGAGAGAGGCUUCUCACUGCAGAAUCACAUUAAAACAGCCUUGCGUAGUCACCUUCAGGAGGAGGUCACCAGGCUGAUGUGCAUCUCAAGCUGCAGAGAAACACUGAACACAUUCGAUUUCACUUCAGCAGCAGAAUGUUUCCGUGCCAUGAAAAAUUGUAGAAAAUAGUCAUAAAAAUCAAGAGAAACAAAUUAGCAUGGGAAAUUAUAAGAUUUUUGUUAAUUUAAGAUUUCAUCAAACAAAAAUAUAUGUGGCAAACUGCAGAUUAACGUUUUGCUGAACGCUGUUUUUGUUUUGAAUGUUUAUUAGACGCUAA